CCUACGGGAGGCAGCAGUAGGGAAUAUUGCUCAAUGGGGGAAACCCUGAAGCAGCAACGCCGCGUGGGGGAUGAAGGUUUUCGGAUUGUAAACCCCUUUUGUUAGAGAAGAUAAUGACGGUAUCUGACGAAUAAGCACCGUCUAACUCCGUGCCAGCAGCAGCGGUAAUACGGAGGGUGCAGGCGUUACUCGGAAUCACUGGGCGUAAAGAGCGCGUAGGCGGGAUAGCAAGUCAGAUGUGAAAUCCUAUGGCUUAACCAUAGAACUGCAUUUGAAACUGUUAUUCUAGAGUAUGGGAGAGGUAGGUGGAAUGCUUGGUGUAGGGGUAAAAUGCGUAGAGAUCAAGAAGAAUACUCAUUGCGAAGGCGACCUGCUAGAACAUCACUGACGCUGAUGCGCGAAAGCGUGGGGAGCGAACAGGAUUAGAUACCCUAGUAGUC
RNAcentral lists this ribosomal RNA (440 nucleotides) under uncultured bacterium. RNAcentral's name for it is "partial 16S ribosomal RNA". It matches the Rfam family "Bacterial small subunit ribosomal RNA", at positions 338 to 795 of the family's 1533-position model. The record is from RNAcentral.